ACCACUUUCAGUCAGAAUCAACUGCGCUCUGAUACCAAAUGCUAGGAAUCCCUAACAGAUCUGGUAGUCCCAGUGAUAGUUACUAGAAUAACAGAAAGAGAGAGAAGAGAAAGUGAGGGAGAGAGAAUUUUAGGAGGGAAAAACAGUUAACUUUAUUGAUGAAUGAUUGCCCUGAAUAGGCCUUUCCAGCUGUUUAUAUACAAGUCAGCUAGCUAAAACAAUUGCUCCCGCCCAAACGCUUACUUAUUUCUAUACCUAGUUCUUCUACAUGUCACAUAUUGAUAUUAUGAGUAUGAAUGAAAUAUUGAUAUUAUAAUGAUGUUUAUUGAUUUAAGUGUCAAUUACUAGUUUUGGUGUCAAACAAUUAUUUUUUCUAACUACUGCUGUGUGCAUUUGGCCCCUUUCCCCUUUGACAAACAUGCCAUUAAUUAAGAUAAGAAAAUGACUAAAUAGAAAAAACUACAUGUGUCUUCAUAUAACUUUCUUUUCCUUUCAUUAAUUUUUAUUUUUAGCUUAAAUUGUCAACAGACGAACAGAUAAUGCAGGAUCGGAUGUAGACAAGAGAAGGCUUUAGAUUCCAAUACUCCCAAGCAAAUGAAUGAUGCCAAUGGAACUACAAAUUCAAGUCCAAGAGGGCAAGGCAUAGUGUGUAUAAGAAGGGUACAGGUACAACAAAUCAGAAAGAAAACAAAAAAAAUUAGUACAAUUCCAUAGGCUUUAUGGAAUUCUAAUAACAACGAGAUCAAUCACCAUUUCCCAGAUUAUAGAAACUUAACUUAGUGCAAAGAAUGGUUCAUCCUGGAAAAAUAAAAGCACUCAUUUCUUCUAGAUACUCUUAAUCAAGAAACCUUCCAACUCAAACACUAUACCAAGGAUACAUUAGGGUUUCAGAAACCCAACCAAAGAAUGUGCAGAGGAAAGAAGAAUAGAGAGAGUUUAGGUAGAAAAGAAAAAUGAGAAUUCGUUAGAAGAUAAUAGAAAGUAUUAUUCUUGAUAAUUCUGGAAUGAAUUACAAUAAAGGUCACUGAGUUUGUUAGCAGCAAUAAAGACAAUGUGCAGGUGACUGCAUACUGAAUCUCAAUACAAGUGAAAGAACUCAAAUUAAGACAAACACAGCAGUACAAUAAUGAAAAUAGAAUUGCAUGGAUAAGCCUAAACCAAGCAGAAGUGUUAGCAAACCAAGGGUUGGAACAUCCUCUAAGAACCUUCAACUUUUUUUAUUUAAUACGUAUUGAAAGUUUUAUCCCAUGAAACCAAACUAGAAAAAUAAUAAUAACUUUGAAGUUAAACCAAGUGUCAUAAAACAAGAAUUUCCUAACGGGAAAAAUAAAAAUAAAACAACUAAAAUUAGGUGCAAAACUUACAAUGAUUCGGCCUUCAAUUCUCAGAUCCUUCUACUCAAAAAGCCAUAUUUGAAUGCGGGCUUUCUAUGAGAACCACAUAAAAAAGAGAGAGAAGAAGAAGCAAGUAUUAAGCUUCCCAUUAAGGACAACCUAAUUUAAGCAAACCCAAAUGAGUAAAAGAAUAGAAUAAGCGAAGAACUGACUUACACUUUGAAGAAACCUGAAAAUCAGGUUCUGAUGCAGCAUAUCCCAGUAAGCACAAAGUAAAGCAACAAAUGAGAGGAGGAAGGAGACAAAAAAGCCACAAAUAAAAGUUGGGGGUUAAAGACAACAAGAAGCAUAAGUGUUAAACGUACAAUGGGUUGGGUUAUAAUCCUUUGGACCUUGGUACUAGCCAUGUUGAUGAGCUCUGGAGGAUUCCGGAGGCAAAGAGAAAGUUGAGUUGGAGAGAAGUGCAACCCUAGAACGAUUUGAGCCAAGAGGCAAAUUAGUCAUAUUUUUCUAACCAAAUAGAUUUUUUUUUAGCCAAACCAAAUAGAUAUUUUGUUUUGAGUAAUAUGCGGGGGGAUAAAUUACUCUAAGCUCUCUAUGGUUUGUUAAAAUUAGUUACACAAUACAUAUUUUAAAAAAAUAAUUAAAACAUUUAUUUUAAUUUUAACUACAGAAAUAACAUAAUAUAUAGCAAGCCUAGUCUGGUUUGAUCCAAUGGUAAAAAGAAAUAUUACUCACUUAGGAGACUCAGGCUCAAGUCUGAUACCCCCAAUCCCCUACUUAAAAAUAUAUAUAUAUAGAAAAAAUUACAGAUAUUAAAUAAUAAGAUUCUUAAAAUUACAACAGAUUAAAAGAUAUAAAUAUUAAAAACUAAAAAAAAAAUAUAAUUAAUAUGCCCUUAACAAAAUUAUUAAAGGAUUUGAUUUUAAAAGUAUCACUAUGUUUUAAUUGGGCUUUAAAAAGAUAACAACUAAUGAUUAAUUUUAGCACAAUAUAAAAAUGUGUCAAUAAUUUAUCCUGUGAACCAAAAAUGGCUAACAAAUUGAUAUGGACAAAUCACAGUUACAUUCUUUUUUUCCUUUUUUGAAUAAGUUAAGUUGUUGAAUAUUGGCUUAUUAAUAAUUUGAUUAUCUUAUUUUCUUUUUAAAAAAAAAAAUCAUAGCUUCUUUAUCACUUACAUAUAGAUCAUUUCAUUCCGUUCUUUUUUUUAAGGCUCCUUCUGUUUCCUAGGAAAUAUUUUUCAAGAAAAUGUUUUCUACAUUUGUUGGUAUUUGAGGCACUCAAAAAAAUUAGUCUCACAUAAAAUAUUUUUCUAGUUAAAAGAAAAAUUAACUUAUUUUACAGAAAAUGACUUCCUCUUUUGAGAAUCUUAUUAACACCUUUAUAUAUAAAAUUGUCAAUAUAUUUUAUUUUUUAAAUUAAUAAACAAUGAAAAAUAAGUCAUUUUAUUAGAAAUUUUUUCAAUGAAAACAUUUUCCACCGGAAAAUAUUUUUCAAAUGCAAGUUAUGUUCCACAAACAAACGGCGCCUUAAUUUUGCGAUUAGAAAACCCUAAAAAUAACAAAAGUGUUUUUACUUAAAAUUCCUAAAACCAUUUGAAUUCACAAAUAAAUGUUUGAUUAAUACAAGUGCCAGUAAAUACUUUGCAUACUGAAACCCAUAAAAUUCGGAUAGCUUCAUACAUUCGUCACUCUUUUUAAUUAUAAACAAAGAUUCACACAAACUUUAAGCACAAAACUGAACAGGAGCUGAGACAUAAAAGAACGAAAUAAAAGAAUAAAGUGAAGUUUUUGUAUUUGAUUGCCAAUCAUUUUUUGCAUGCUAUGGUAUCUAUUCAUGCAGUAAACCAAAGAGAUGUUACUGAGGAAAAGGACAGUUAGAAGGAAGAAUAAAUUUAAAAGUCACCUUCAUCAUGAAGGAAUGAAGACAUGAAGCUAAAGAAAAAUGUUUUAUAAAGCUCAUUUUUACAUUUAAGUCAUUACUUUUCAUCCAUUUUCUCAAAGCAUUUUUUUAUUUCUAUCUUUCUUCUUUUCAAAUCACACUCUAAGAAAACAGAUUUUUUGUGGGGAAAGUUUUCCACAUUAUAUCUUGAAUUACACCACUAUAAAAAUUUGUAGUGAAUAUAAAAUUAGUCACAACGUUGCCAUUAGAAGUGUGAAACAAAAGAUCACAGUGGUGAAAUUAUUUCACCACAAAAGCUAUAUUUUCUAUGGGGAAAUAUGAUCCAUUAAAAAUAUAGUUUAUUAGAGAAAAGUUUUCCCACUAAAAAUAAAACUUUUGCAGCGAAAAUCUUCCCCACUAAAAGAUAUGACUUUUGCAGCAAAACUUUUCUUCAUUAAAAGUUUGUCGAUUUGUGGGAAAUUUUUCCCCACUAAAGCAUAUCAUUAUAAUAAAAUAGUUACAAUUGAUUUAGUCAUAGGAGUUUGCUUACAUAUAAUUUAGUAGUUGCCUAUUUAUUAAUACUCAUUUUAUUAAAUCAAUUGAUUAAUAUGAGAAAUAAUAGAUCACCUUAAAAGUAUAUGGUUUCCAUUAUAAAAGAUAUGGAUAUUAAUGUACAAAGAUUUGGGACGACUCCAACCCCUGACUAUAAAAGAUCUCAAUAUGAGGGUUACAAUGAUUCAGUUGAGUUUUGAGUCAACAAUAGCACCUCUAUGGAUGCACUAGUUCUGAUGUGAUAACCAUCUGUCAGAAGUUGACAUUCAGAAUAGACAAAAGCAAGAAAAUUCUCUUAGAACAAUGAGUAAUAUUCUGGCCUCCACCUCUGUUUGUCUUGUCCAGAUGUUCAAACAGAAGCAUUUGUCAAUAUGAAAUACACCAACUUCCAUGCACAUAGUCCAAAAAAUAAAUGAUGCUUUAGGUUCAUUAGUUAGCUAUUGUGUUAAGCGUAAUUGCCCCAAAAAACAAGUGAGCAAAGACAGCUUUCUUAGAAUCUAUGUUUUGGAUUUUUACAAGGUUCCUUUUAACUUCAUCUAUAUUUUAUAGUCAUUUCUUAUUUGUUUUCUUUUGCAUCGAAUUGGAACCUGCAGGUUCAAGUUUUUGCUCUUUCUCAUUGGUAAUCAACUCAUUUUUCAUACUUUUCAUUGAAUUUGCUGUCUUUCAAGUAAAGAAUCCAUGUUAAUCUCAUCAGAAAUGGUAAAUAAAACAUGUCAAGCUCCAAUGGGAUUUUGGCAUUAUCAAUUUAACCAUCAAACUGAAAAAAGAAAAAUCAAAAGGAAUUUUCUUGAUCUAAGACUAUAUAGACACAUGGGUACCUAUUACCUAAACUAAUCUUGUGUUCCUAAACUGAUAAAUUUUGAAUUAAAAAAAAAUCAAAACCAUGGAAUAAUGUGUGUUUUAUAGAUCAUUGUAAUUCAAGGGUGGAUGUUAUUUUUUUGUAAUUGACAGUCAAAAGAAUAUAAUUAUAAUAAAUUGAACUCAAAUAAUUUCAUAAAUCAAUGAAGCAUGUCUGUCAGAUUUGUUUAAAAAUUGUACCACUUCAAAAAUUCAACAUAUCAAUAUAAAUAUAAAUAUAUUAAUUAGGAUAAUAAGAUAAAAUAGAAGUUGCAAUUGCUUACUUAUUGGAACCAGAAUAUUUAGACUUACUAUGAGGCUGGAGAUUAAAGUAGCAGAUGUGUCGAAAACAACUAAUCUGAGAGUUUCUUGAUCCCCCAAAUGCAGACACUAGCUAACAAUUAUAUUAUUAAAUCCACAUGAUUCCAUUGCUACAUGGAACUUUUGUUCCUGGUGCACACCAGGAACUGGUGUCAGUUCCUGGUAUGCACCAGGAAUUAGAAACUGAGACCAGUUCCUGAUGCACGAUCAGGGACUGAUAUCAUUCCCUGGUAUCCACCAAGAACUGAGAUUCAGUUCCUGGUCCAUACCAGUUUUCUAUACACAGAUUUGGUGAUACAAGUUUUUAGACAUACAUAUUGAAGGCAAAUUUACUUGGCACUUUGACAAUCAGCUCAUAGGAUUUUACUACUUAGGAGUAGAAAUAAAUGUGGGAAUUUUUCUUAAUGUUAUCCUCUAUCUACAGCUAGACAAAAAAUAAAUAAGAAAAUGAAAAAUAAAAAGUAUAAUGGGUGCCUUUACACUAUCUCAACUGUCAAUAAUCAUAUACCUAAUCAUUUGAUAGUCUUUAAAACUGUGUAUUCCUUCUGUAUAGAACUAUAUCAGCAGCUUGUAAGUGGGAUUUCUUCACUCUCUCCGUUAUCUUCGAUUCAUGAAUUUAGAAUGACAAUAAUUUCAGUUCCACCAGGAACUGCUCUAACAAUCCAUCACUUAGGGGACAUUGAGAAUUAUUCAAAAACAAUUGGGGGCUACGAGAAUCCAUCACCCCUAAGAUUAUUGAGCUAAAAUAAAAUAUCGAAAAUCAAACCCACAAUAUAUUGUGCCUCCAACCUUAUCGAGCAUUAUAGGUUCUUUUGAACUUUAUAGAAAAUCAAAACAAGACCUCCAACAGUGAAUUUCAUUAAUCUUCCAACAGUCAUUGGUUUGUUAACAUCAUCUAUGGACAAAUUCUCACAACAAAUAAAAGAAAAAUAGAAGUGAGAUAUCAAACCUGGUUGCAAUCGGGCGAAGGAAGAAGAAUGGGCGCCGCAGGUCCUCCAAGAUCAACUACUCGUCAAUCUGGUGUUUGGGGCGAUGGAGAUUGUGCUUUACCAACAAGCAAUAUAGAGAGUGGAGAGGAACUUGACUCGCACGAUAUGGUCCUCCAAACCUUCGUUUUCAGUUCAAGACCCGAGUAACUUCAAUUUAUUUAUUUAUUUUUC
This 6085-nucleotide long non-coding RNA is filed under the name Manihot esculenta (cassava). RNAcentral's name for it is "long non-coding RNA (MESC_LNC004801)". The record is from RNAcentral. Lineage: Eukaryota; Viridiplantae; Streptophyta; Magnoliopsida; Malpighiales; Euphorbiaceae.